Non-coding RNA from Camellia sinensis, 1410 nucleotides. Lineage: Eukaryota; Viridiplantae; Streptophyta; Magnoliopsida; Ericales; Theaceae. The record is from RefSeq and is a predicted model, not a curated record.
UAAAAUAAUUGAGCUGCACUUUGACAAGCUCAAGAUCAGCUAUCCAAAAAGCUUGUUACAGCUUCUUCUCCAGUAAAUGAGCUUGUGAGCUCAACUAAUUUUCUGAGUUAGAUUAUCACUCAUCCAGGCUUGACCAAUACUGGGAUUAACAUGACUAGGCACAUGGACAGUUGAGGUAGGCAUCAUGUAGUUAUAAUGGCUCAAUCUGUACGAAAUUACCUUUCAAAGAAUUCUUUGGGGAGGUAACAUUAAGGAACAAAGUUGAAUAGAGUUGGAUUUUGGAAUAUGUUAUAAUCAUUAACUUGCAUUAUCAAGCCUAGGAUUGUACGGUUCUUAGGAAGAGAUGGAUUUCAGAUGAAGCUACUAAUUAACAGGCUCAAUUGUGGCUAAAUUUCUUAAAAAACAAAGCUGGAUGGGGUUGGUUGAGUGGGAGUAUUCUUGAGCUCAAAGCAAAUGCAGUCAACCUGUGCUUGAUUCUUACAACUCUGAUCUUGCAUCUGUUAUUUAAAGCCAUAUAAGGCACUUUAAAAUGGUUUUUCAUUCCUUGGGUAGGUGGCCCUUCUAGAAUUUGUAUUUAAUGAAUUGUGAUUUUAAAUAGAGAGUUUUGCAAGUACUGUCUUGAUAUGGCUGGAUUAUAUAUGUGCUUGUUUGGUAAAAUCUUAUUCAUGAUUGUAAUUUAAUGUUUUUCUUUCCCAUUCAAAUAUUGGUAUAAAUUUGUUUGACUUUGAUUUUGCACUUGAUCAGGUUUAUUGAGUGGGCUAAAUGAAAGUCCUUAACCAGAAUCCUAACAAAGAAAGUAUUGAAUGUUUAACAAGCAAAUUGUGAAUUUUAUUGGUUUUAGUAUAGUAUUGUUUAACACUAAAUGAUGUUGCUUUGCAUGAUGGCAGAGUGGGAGUAUGACAGCUCUUCAGGCUAUUACUGUAAUCAAAAUAAUGGUUGUUUCUACGAUCCAAACUCUGGCUUCUACUACACUGAUGCUUUAGAGGCAUUUGCUGCAUCUCGAGCUUCUUCAAAUUCGGCUUCAAAAAAGCUCAUUUUGAAAAAUCCAUUGUCAGCAUUAGAGGGUAGAUAAGCUUUGGAAAACUAAGGCGCUACAAAAAUCUCUAAAUGGAGCGCUACUUGGGCCAGUUGUUUCUGCGCCUCUAAAUCCCAAGAGAUCCAUUAAAGGUGCUCCUUCAUCUCUCACUGUUAACAAGAGAAAGAGGCAAGAUGAAAAGCCCAAGGUUUUAUCUGAAGAGGAAGCAGCUGUACUUAAAAAAAGGAGGCUGCAAGGAAAAGAGUUGAGGAGAGAGAGAAGCCGUUGCUUGGCCUUUAUAGACAAUGAUUGAAUCACUGCUGCAAAUACUUGUAUUAUUGUAAGAGGUAUGCUUUAACCUGUUUGUUCUUAAUUUAAAUUGCAAUACAUUAAUU